UAUCCGUAGUAUAGUGGUCAGUAUGUGAGCUUGUCAUAGGACUCCAGUCCAAACAUCGCUCGAGACCCGGGUUCAAUUCCCGGCGGGAGAG
This 91-nucleotide transfer RNA is filed under the name Collariella sp. IMI 366227. RNAcentral describes it as "tRNA-Asp". It matches the Rfam family "tRNA", at positions 5 to 66 of the family's 71-position model. Rfam says of the family: Transfer RNA (tRNA) molecules are approximately 80 nucleotides in length. Their secondary structure includes four short double-helical elements and three loops (D, anti-codon, and T loops). Further hydrogen bonds mediate the characteristic L-shaped molecular structure. tRNAs have two regions of fundamental functional importance: the anti-codon, which is responsible for specific mRNA codon recognition, and the 3' end, to which the tRNAs corresponding amino acid is attached (by aminoacyl-tRNA synthetases). tRNAs cope with the degeneracy of the genetic code in two manners: having more than one tRNA (with a specific anti-codon) for a particular amino acid; and 'wobble' base-pairing, i.e. permitting non-standard base-pairing at the 3rd anti-codon position. The record is from RNAcentral. Lineage: Eukaryota; Fungi; Ascomycota; Sordariomycetes; Sordariales; Chaetomiaceae.